RNAcentral lists this small nuclear RNA (107 nucleotides) under Pan paniscus (pygmy chimpanzee). The record is from RNAcentral. Lineage: Eukaryota; Metazoa; Chordata; Mammalia; Primates; Hominidae.
AUGCUCAUUUCAGCAGCACAUGUACUAAAAUUGGAACAAUACAGAGAAGAUUCGCGUGGUUCCUAUGGAAGGAUGAGAUACAGAUUUAUGAAGCAUCCCAUAUACAA